CGUAAAGCGAUGACGGAGACUAGUACGCAGGACCUAUCUGUUUUUUCAGGGAGAAGAUGCCACAGACUGCGAGCAUCUUUAACAUGAUAGCUGCCGAAUUCACUCCAAAGCCGCACUCUGAACCGCUUUUCGCGCAGUAGGAGCAGCCGGGUCAUACCCGUUACCAAUGAUCUGAAGUGAGACAAAUGUCUCUUUCCACUAGUGAUAUUGUCAUGCAUUUGUCACAGGGUGGAAGCGAAUUGUCUAACAAGGGUGGUACCGCGAGAAAAAAGUAACUCGUCCCUUUU
This 287-nucleotide non-coding RNA is filed under the name Brevibacillus brevis. RNAcentral describes it as "T-box sequence". It matches the Rfam family "T-box leader". From Rfam's summary of the family: Uncharged tRNA acts as the effector for transcription antitermination of genes in the T-box leader family. T-boxes are found upstream of many aminoacyl-tRNA synthetase genes and some amino acid biosynthetic genes usually in Gram-positive bacteria. The anticodon of a specific tRNA base pairs to a specifier sequence within the T-box motif, and the NCCA acceptor tail of the tRNA base pairs to a conserved bulge in the T-box antiterminator hairpin. The record is from RNAcentral. Lineage: Bacteria; Bacillati; Bacillota; Bacilli; Caryophanales; Paenibacillaceae.